RNAcentral lists this ribosomal RNA (429 nucleotides) under Gemmatimonadota bacterium. Its description in RNAcentral is "Gemmatimonadetes bacterium partial 16S ribosomal RNA". It matches the Rfam family "Bacterial small subunit ribosomal RNA", at positions 355 to 776 of the family's 1533-position model. The record is from RNAcentral. Lineage: Bacteria; Pseudomonadati; Gemmatimonadota.
UAGGGAAUUUUCGGCAAUGGACGAAAGCCUGACCGAGCAACGCCGCGUGGGGGAAGAAGGUUUUCGGAUCGUAAAACUCUGUUGUUAGAGAAGAACAAGGACGUCAGUAACUGAACGUCCCCUGACGGUAUCUAACCAGAAAGCAACGGCUAACUACGUGCCAGCACCCGCGGUAAUACGUAGGUGGCAAGCGUUGUCCGGAUUUAUUGGGCGUAAAGCGUGCGCAGGCGGUUUCUUAAGUCUGAUGUGAAAGCCCCCGGCUCAACCGGGGAGGGUCAUUGGAAACGGGGAGACUUGAGUGCAGAAGAGGGGAGUGGAAUUCCAGGUGUAGCGGUGAAAUGCGUAGAUAUAUGGAGGAACACCAGUGGCGAAGGCGGCUCUCUGGUCUGUAACUGACGCUGAGGCUCGAAAGCGUGGGGAGCAAACAGG